RNAcentral lists this ribosomal RNA (109 nucleotides) under uncultured eukaryote. RNAcentral's name for it is "partial small subunit ribosomal RNA". It matches the Rfam family "Eukaryotic small subunit ribosomal RNA", at positions 1676 to 1785 of the family's 1831-position model. The record is from RNAcentral.
UCGCUCCUACCGAUUGAGUGAUCCGGUGAAUAACUCGGACUGAUGCAGUGCUCAGCUCCUGGACGUUGCAUUGGAAAGUUUAGUGAACCUUAUCACUUAGAGGAAGGAG